Molecule: ribosomal RNA, 1580 nt
Filed under: Hsunycteris thomasi (Thomas' nectar bat)
Lineage: Eukaryota; Metazoa; Chordata; Mammalia; Chiroptera; Phyllostomidae
Description: 16S ribosomal RNA
Rfam family: Bacterial large subunit ribosomal RNA
Source: RNAcentral
GAUUACUUUGAGCCGUACUUAGCCCAAAAUAACUAUAACACAAAUAUAAAUUAACCUAAAGUAAAACAUUUAUACUUUUAAAAGUAUAGGAGAUAGAAAUUUUAAUUGGCGCUAUAGAGAGAGUACCGCAAGGGAAAAAUGAAAGAAAAGACUAAAGCACUAAACAGCAAAGAUUACCUCUUGUACCUUUUGCAUCAUGAUUUAACUAGACCUAACUUAGCAAAGAGAACUUAAGUUAAGACCCCCGAAACCAGACGAGCUACCUAUAAGCAGCCUUACAGAGCAAAUUCAUCUAUGUGGCAAAAUAGUGAAAAGACUUAUAAGUAGAGGUGAAAAGCCUACCGAGCCUGGUGAUAGCUGGUUAUCCAGUAAAAGAAUUUCAGUUCAGACUUAAGCCUACCUAUUAAAUCCCUAAUUAAAUUGUAGACUUAAGAUAUAGUCUAAAGAGGGACAGCUCUUUAGAUACAGGUUACAACCUUGACCAGAGAGUAAGUAAAUAAAUAAUUCAUAGUUGGCCUAAAAGCAGCCACCAAUAAAGAAAGCGUUCAAGCUCAAUAACCCAAUAAACUUAAUCCUAACAUUUACAUACGAACUCCUGGUAACAAUUACUGGAUUAUUUUAUAAUAAUAUAGAAGAAAUACUGUUAAUAUGAGUAACAAGAAAAAUUUCUCCCCCGCACCAGUUUAUAUCAGAACGGAUAGUCCACUGAUAGUUAACGCAUAUUAAAGAAAACCCAACAACAAGUCCUUUAUUAUAGAUCCGUUAACCCAACACAGGAGUGCCUUCAGGGAAAGAUUAAAAGGAGUAAAAGGAACUCGGCAAACACAAACCCCGCCUGUUUACCAAAAACAUCACCUCUAGCAUUACCAGUAUUAGAGGCACUGCCUGCCCAGUGACAUACGUUUAACGGCCGCGGUAUCCUGACCGUGCAAAGGUAGCAUAAUCACUUGUUCUCUAAAUAAGGACUUGUAUGAAUGGCCACACGAGGGUUUUACUGUCUCUUACUCCCAAUCAGUGAAAUUGACCUUCCCGUGAAGAGGCGGGAAUGCUAUAAUAAGACGAGAAGACCCUAUGGAGCUUUAAUUAACUAGUCCAAGAGAAUACUAACCUUAUAUCGACAGACAUAAAAUAACCUCAUAUGGACUAACAAUUUAGGUUGGGGUGACCUCGGGGUAUAAAAUAACCCCCGAGUAAUUUCAAGCCAAGACUUACCAGUCAAAGCUACAUUACUUACUGAUCCAAAACUAAUUUGAUCAACGGAACAAGUUACCCUAGGGAUAACAGCGCAAUCCUAUUUAAGAGUUCAUAUCGACAAUAGGGUUUACGACCUCGAUGUUGGAUCAGGAUAUCCCAAUGGUGCAGCAGCUAUUGAUGGUUCGUUUGUUCAACGAUUAAAAUCCUACGUGAUCUGAGUUCAGACCGGAGUAAUCCAGGUCGGUUUCUAUCUAUUCUAUGUCUCUCCCAGUACGAAAGGACAAGAGAGACAGGGCCUCCUUGAAACCCAAGCGCCUUCCAGCUAAACAAAUGAUCUAAACUUAAUUUAGUACGCAAUAAACUCUUCACCCCUAGACCAGGGCUUA